Molecule: unclassified non-coding RNA, 363 nt
Filed under: Hevea brasiliensis (rubber tree)
Lineage: Eukaryota; Viridiplantae; Streptophyta; Magnoliopsida; Malpighiales; Euphorbiaceae
Source: RNAcentral
UUCAGUUUUCGAUUUUAUCGGUUCAGUUCAGUUCUGAACUGAACUGAAUCGACCGUUUGCACACCCCUAGAUAUGAGCAUUAACAUACCAAAUGAAGUAAAACUUACCAUUUACAUUUUUUAAUUAUAAAUUAAAUAUCUAGAUUAUUUCUUAGAUCCUAUUUAGCAAUAUUAGUUCUUUUACUAACUAUUAGCAAUUAUAUAUUUAUAUUAGUUGUUAAAUAUAAAAAUAGUAGUAUCAUCUACCUUAAGGCCCAAGCCAUAAGAAAUGCAAAAGGAGGAUGAAUUAUCUUAAAUCUUAUGUGAGCUAGUAACAAAACAUUAUCCAUUGCUGAAACAAGGAUAGUUGAACAAGUUAAUGAUA